RNAcentral lists this unclassified non-coding RNA (232 nucleotides) under Hevea brasiliensis (rubber tree). The record is from RNAcentral. Lineage: Eukaryota; Viridiplantae; Streptophyta; Magnoliopsida; Malpighiales; Euphorbiaceae.
CAUCAGCAACUCACGCAUAUGCAAGGCAUGUUCGGGAAAACCCCGAUUCGGAUUGCCGACCUGUCGCGACUGGAGACCACGUGUCCCUUCAUUGCGCUCAUGCCGCAGUGGGACUUCCUCAAUUUCCUCGAAACCAAAGGCGCGCGCUUCCCGUCGCUUCAAAUCCUGAAAAAUACCGAGGCCAUCGAACUGGUCAGGGAUGGCUCGCUUAUUACCGGAGUCGUUGCCAAGG